Molecule: ribosomal RNA, 448 nt
Filed under: uncultured bacterium
Lineage: Bacteria
Description: bacterial SSU rRNA
Rfam family: Bacterial small subunit ribosomal RNA
Source: RNAcentral
GAUGAACGCUGGCGGCGUGCUUAACACAUGCAAGUCGAGCGAAGCACUUUGGAAAGAUUCUUCGGAUGAUUUCCUUUGUGACUGAGCGGCGGACGGGUGAGUAACGCGUGGGUAACCUGCCUCAUACAGGGGGAUAACAGUUAGAAAUGACUGCUAAUACCGCAUAAGACCACGGUACCGCAUGGUACAGUGGUAAAAACUCCGGUGGUAUGAGAUGGACCCGCGUCUGAUUAGGUAGUUGGUGGGGUAACGGCCUGCCAAGCCGACGAUCAGUAGCCGACCUGAGAGGGUGACCGGCCACAUUGGGACUGAGACACGGCCCAGACUCCUACGGGAGGCAGCAGUGGGGAAUAUUGCACAAUGGAGGAAACUCUGAUGCAGCGACGCCGCGUGAAGGAUGAAGUAUUUCGGUAUGUAAACUUCUAUCAGCAGGGAAGAAAAUGACGGU